CCUUUUGCCUCUGAGUUGCAGGCGCUUUUUCGCAUUCACCUAUAGGCUACGUUAAUUCACCUGGACCCGUCUUCCUCAGGGCUUUGUUGACUCGUCAGCUGUAUUCUCCACUGUAGUGCACAGAACUUUGGCCAAUAUCCACCUGGCUGAAACAACCUGCAUCCUUCAAUACACAGAUGACAUUCUUGUUACAGGACUGACGGAGCAGGACUGCCUCAAAGCGUCAGUGGUUGUCUGCAAUGUCCUGGCUCAGGCUGGAUUUAAAGCUUCACACUAGAAACUACAGUUGGUGAAGCGAAAGGUCUCAUAUCUGGGCCAUGUGAUCUCAGAAAGCCAAUGCAAGAUAUCAUAGGGCCAAGUACAGCUUGUGGCUAGGUUUUCAAGACUUCAGACUGUGAAACAGAUGCAGAGCUUCUUGAAACUGAUGAACUACUGCCUAACAUAGAUCCCUGACUGCGCACGGCAUGAUAACGUUUUGCGUAGUGCUACUGACAACAAAGCUCCUCCAUCACAUCUCAUUCUGUGGACUCAUUAAAUGAUUGACAGUUUUACUGCCCUCAAGAAGGCUAUACAGUCUGCUCCAGCUUUUAUUCUUCCAAAUUAUGGUCCGGGAUGCUGAGAAAACGGUGCUGUCACAUCCUUUGAUACUGUACACCUCACAUCAGAUAAGCCAACACACCCUUUUAUGCGUAAACAGCAGGUCCUGAUACAAAGCCUGAAGCCUACCAAGGUCUGUGAGCUGAAGUAUCUGGGUCCAGUGACUGUUCUAGCUGUAACCAGAACAGGAGAUCUGACUGAUUAUCAGCAACAGUGGAUUCACUCAAGCAGGAUCAAAGUAGAAUAAUCUGUGCAUUAAAUGGUCUGUUGGCCUAAGAAGCCUACUAAGUGAGUAUUCAGGGCUGAAUUAGUUUUAAGUCCAUGGAAAGAUCCUUUCUUUAUAGAGAAAGGGGGCCACCUCUGGUGUGAAGAUCCACUUGACUGUUUUGUUUAGCUUACCCUGAUACCUCUAGGUCUAAAUUCUAUAACUAUACGUGCAUAGUUGUAAUUACACUCCAAAUUUUCCAAAAUUAAACACAUUAUUCAAAGAAGGGAAACUGUUAUGUAUACCUUAUAAUGAUGCUUACGGACAUAUUGAACAAACACUGAGAAACAUCUCAGAAACGCCUUUUGACGUCUUGGAGUACGUGAAAUAACUGCUGAGCAAAUUUUUUUUAGAAGAUUAAGAAUUUAUUUACGAGUGUUUAACUCUACUUUGUUUUAGGAUUGAUUGUUAUAUUGUAUGUUGAAUUAAUAGAAUUUUACUUUGUAUGUUGCCAUGUUUGAUGAUGAUGGUAAGACAGGCCAUAAAGUUUUCGAUUGGAGUGGUAAUAAUGAAGGAUUAUAUGGAUUUAGAAAUGAAAUGAAAGGAAAUUUGUUGUUUUUUGUUUUGUCUUUAUCUUUUUAUUUGCAGUUUAUAUCACCGAUCCUGUUCCCAUGAAGAACAUCCUAUGUUAUGGUGUGAGGUGCUUAAUCAUAAAUGAUUUAAAGUGGCCAUUGUUAGAGUUAAGAUGAGCCUCAUACUGUUCUCUAAACACAUUUCUAUGUUAUCUGUUUAGUGUCUAUAGGAUCUUUACGAUGUGAGUAUGUAAAGUACACGGAAUGUCUUUUGUCUGGGCUCACACAUCUCUGGUUUCUAUGUCUUCUUACCCAAUCAGGAACAGUUUUAGGUCAGGUUUUUUCCAGUGUGUCUAUAUACUUGUCUGUUAUCUGCAUUAAACUGAAGAAGAACAGUA
Silurus meridionalis is the source of this 1772-nucleotide long non-coding RNA. RefSeq lists it as uncharacterized. NCBI's taxonomy places the organism in Eukaryota, Metazoa, Chordata, Actinopteri, Siluriformes, Siluridae. The transcript is spliced from 2 exons. The record is from RefSeq and is a predicted model, not a curated record.